Molecule: ribosomal RNA, 465 nt
Filed under: uncultured bacterium
Lineage: Bacteria
Description: partial 16S ribosomal RNA
Rfam family: Bacterial small subunit ribosomal RNA
Source: RNAcentral
CCUACGGGCGGCAGCAGUGGGGAAUAUUGCGCAAUGGGCGAAAGCCUGACGCAGCGACGCCGCGUGAGGGAUGAAGGUCUUAGGAUCGGAAACCUCUGUCAGCAGGGAAGAACGGUCACUGUGCUAAUCAGCAGUGAAUUGACGGUACCUGCAAAGGAAGCACCGGCUAACUCCGUGCCAGCAGCCGCGGUAAUACGGCGGGUGCGAGCGUUAAUCGGAAUUACUGGGCGUAUAGCGUUCGUAGGCGGUAUGUCAAGUCAAGGGUGAAAUCCCCGCGCUCAACGUGGGAACUGCCUUUGAAACUGGCAAACUGGAGUGUGUGAGAGGAUAGUGGAAUUCCAGGUGUAGGAGUGAAAUCCGUAGAUAUCUGGAGGAACAUCAGUGGCGAAGGCGACUAUCUGGCACAUAACUGACGCUGAUGAGCGAAAGCGUGGGUAGCAAACAGGAUUAGAUACCCAAGUAGUC